UUAAAUUGAAGAGUUUGAUCAUGGCUCAGAUUGAACGCUGGCGGCAGGCCUAACACAUGCAAGUCGAACGGUAACAGGAAGCAGCUUGCUGUUUCGCUGACGAGUGGCGGA
RNAcentral lists this ribosomal RNA (111 nucleotides) under Escherichia coli. RNAcentral describes it as "partial 16S ribosomal RNA". It matches the Rfam family "Bacterial small subunit ribosomal RNA", at positions 1 to 102 of the family's 1533-position model. Lineage: Bacteria; Pseudomonadati; Pseudomonadota; Gammaproteobacteria; Enterobacterales; Enterobacteriaceae. RNAcentral also lists the same sequence under 1 other name. The record is from RNAcentral.